AGGCUUGUAGCUCAGGUGGUUAGAGCGGACCCCUGAUAAGGGUGAGGUCGGUGGUUCAAGUCCACUCAGGCCUACCA
This 77-nucleotide transfer RNA is filed under the name Klebsiella pneumoniae. RNAcentral describes it as "tRNA-Ile". It matches the Rfam family "tRNA". Rfam says of the family: Transfer RNA (tRNA) molecules are approximately 80 nucleotides in length. Lineage: Bacteria; Pseudomonadati; Pseudomonadota; Gammaproteobacteria; Enterobacterales; Enterobacteriaceae. The record is from RNAcentral.